Molecule: long non-coding RNA, 1420 nt
Organism: Microplitis mediator
Lineage: Eukaryota; Metazoa; Arthropoda; Insecta; Hymenoptera; Braconidae
Exons: 5
Source: RefSeq, a predicted model, not a curated record
AGAAAGUAAUGACUCACCGCUUAAUUUAGAACAUGAUACCCCAACUCAAGCAAUUAAAAAUAAUUUACGAGUGGAAAAUAGUUCUAAUAUAUCACCAUCUAUGAAACAUCAGGAACCAUUUAAAAAUGUUACGGAUUCACCUGUCAUUGCUAGUACCUCAGCAACGAACACGCCAAUAGAUUACACUAUUACACAACUGCAAGCCCAUGUAAUUCCACCAGAAUCAACUUACGAUGUAUCUAAUUCUUUACAUAAUUCACUGUCAACGUCACUUUUUUACCCCCAUUUAACGGAUACUUCUCCGUAUGUAACAGUCAGUUCAUGUUUAAACAAACACACACCAACAGUAAUCAACAACGUACCAAUAAAUUCUCGCUAUACCAUUACAACUACAGAACCAUCUGAAUCAGAACUGAAUAAGAGCUGUAUAUAUACAUUACCAGCUGUAAAUACCCAUGACUCUUGAGCAUACGAAACGAAAUCAUGGACGACUUUUGGUGAUGACUUACCAGCGAAUAAAGAAAAUUUUGACUCAGGUAAUAGUGUAUCUUUACCAACACGACAGUAUUAUGCCGGUUCUACAUCUGAAACUAUUACUCGGAUCCUUGGAAAAAAAAUGACUGUGAAAAAGUUUCUACAUCUUAUCGAAGCCGGCAAGCAAUGUUAACUGUGCCAUCUUGUCAUUAACAAAGUUCAGAUUCGAGUAAGAUUGCAAAAAAUAGUACAGUAGACGAAUCAGAUAGUUCAUCUUAUGAUGUAGAUGAAGAAAGUCUCCCAAUAACAACUGAAUUAGUCGCUACGAUUCCUCACGGAAAGCUUUCAGCACGAGAUGUCUGGAUUCAGAAACAAAUUUAUCUGUCGUUUAAAAGAUCUUAUUUGGAUCAAGAAAAAAAUAGAAACAUUGUUGAUAAUUCGUUUCAGAUUCCACCUAAAUUUCUGCAAGCCAGUGAAGAUCAAGUUGAAAUAGCACCAGGAAAAAAAUUUUACAUCAGUAAAAAUCUUAAAGCUUUGAUACAAUUCAAGUAUGAAGAAACAGGUUGCUGGAAAACUAUUGUUAAAGAAGUCAUGCUAGCUGUGUACGGAGACCAUAUGGGUAAUUUUUCUGCUACCGGAAGUAAAUGUGGUUCUCGCCCGAAAAUUAAUAAAACAUUGUUUGAUGGAUUAUUAGUGUGGAUUAAUCAGGGGAGGGCUCCAGAAGAUUUAAUCAAAAGAACUGCCCUCAUUGCCGAAAUUAACCAUAAAAUUUCGAACAAAAGAUGUUACAGGAAGAAAAGCCUGAGCAAAGAACAAGACGAUCCGCAAUAGUUUUGAGCAUUAUUUAAUUCUUAAGUCGAAAAAUUUUGUUUUUAAAUCUUUUUCAACUGUAAUUCAUAAAUUUUACACACUUUUUUGUUAUUAUGAGAAUUUUAAUUACAUCAAA